RNAcentral lists this ribosomal RNA (539 nucleotides) under uncultured Glomeromycotina. RNAcentral describes it as "SSU rRNA". It matches the Rfam family "Eukaryotic small subunit ribosomal RNA", at positions 552 to 1096 of the family's 1831-position model. Lineage: Eukaryota; Fungi; Glomeromycota. The record is from RNAcentral.
AGGGCAAGUCUGGUGCCAGCAGCCGCGGUAAUUCCAGCUCCAAUAGCGUAUAUUAAAGUUGUUGCAGUUAAAAAGCUCGUAGUUGAAUUUCGGGGUUAGUAGGUUGGUCAUGCCUCAGGUAUGUACUGAUCUCACUGAUUCCUCCUUCCUGAUGAACCGUAAUGCCAUUAAUUUGGUGUUGCGGGGAAACUGGACUGUUACUUUGAAAAAAUUAGAGUGCUCCAGGCAGGCCUAUGCUCGAAUACAUUAGCAUGGAAUAAUAGAAUAGGACGUGUGGUUCUAUUUUGUUGGUUUCUGGGACCGCCGUAAUGAUUAAUAGGGACAGUCGGGGGCAUCAGUAUUCAAUUGUCAGAGGUGAAAUUCUUGGAUUUAUUGAAGACUAACUACUGCGAAAGCAUUUGCCAAGGAUGUUUUCAUUAAUCAGGAACGAAAGUUAGGGGAUCGAAGACGAUCAGAUACCGUCGUAGUCUUAACCAUAAACUAUGCCGACUAGGGAUCGGACGAUGUUACUUAUUGACUCGUUCGGCGCCUUACGGGAA